RNAcentral lists this ribosomal RNA (253 nucleotides) under uncultured bacterium. RNAcentral's name for it is "partial 16S ribosomal RNA". It matches the Rfam family "Bacterial small subunit ribosomal RNA", at positions 524 to 776 of the family's 1533-position model. The record is from RNAcentral.
UACGGAGGGUGCAAGCGUUAAUCGGAAUUACUGGGCGUAAAGCGCACGCAGGUGGCUGAGUCAGUCGAUUGUGAAAGCCCUGGGCUUAACCUGGGAAUUGCAGCCGAUACUACUCAGCUAGAGUAUGGGAGAGGGUAGUGGAAUUCCCGGUGUAGCGGUGAAAUGCGUAGAUAUCCGGAGGAACACCAGUGGCGAAAGCGGCCACCUGGACUGUACCUGACGCUCAAACACGAAAGCUAGGGGAGCGAACGGG